CAGCCGCCGCGGUAAUACGGAGGGUGCAAGCGUUAAUCGGAAUUACUGGGCGUAAAGCGCACGCAGGCGGUUUGUUAAGUCAGAUGUGAAAUCCCCGAGCUUAACUUGGGAACUGCAUUUGAAACUGGCAAGCUAGAGUCUUGUAGAGGGGGGUAGAAUUCCAGGUGUAGCGGUGAAAUGCGUAGAGAUCUGGAGGAAUACCAGUGGCGAAGGCGGCUACCUGGACUGAGACUGACACUGAGGCGCGAGAGCGUGGGGAGCAAACAGGAUUAGAUACCCCGGUAGUCCCUGUCUCUUAUAC
This 301-nucleotide ribosomal RNA is filed under the name uncultured bacterium. RNAcentral describes it as "partial 16S ribosomal RNA". It matches the Rfam family "Bacterial small subunit ribosomal RNA", at positions 509 to 807 of the family's 1533-position model. The record is from RNAcentral.